AUGAACGCUAGCGGCAGGCCUAAUACAUGCAAGUCGAGGGAGAUUGUUGGAUUCGUCUGACAUGAAACCGGCGCACGGGUGCGUAACACGUAUGCAACCUACCUUUAACUGGGGUAUAGCUCAGAGAAAUCUGAAUUAAUCCCCCAUAAGACUACGACAUGGCAUCAUGAUGUAGUUAAAGCUCCGGCGGUUAAGGAUGGGCAUGCGGUACAUUAGCUAGUUGGUGAGGUAAUGGCUCACCAAGGCUACGAUGUAUAGGGGGUCUGAGAGGAUGAUCCCCCACACUGGCACUGAGAUACGGGCCAGACUCCUACGGGAGGCAGCAGUAGGGAAUAUUGGGCAAUGGAUGCAAGUCUGACCCAGCCAUGCCGCGUGCAGGAAGAAGGUCCUCUGGAUUGUAAACUGCUUUUAUCGGGGAAGAAUAGGUCUCUUGCGAGGGAUUGUGACGGUACCCGAUGAAUAAGCCACGGCUAACUACGUG
Molecule: ribosomal RNA, 481 nt
Filed under: uncultured bacterium
Lineage: Bacteria
Description: bacterial SSU rRNA
Rfam family: Bacterial small subunit ribosomal RNA
Source: RNAcentral